GGCCAUAUCAGCCUGAAGGCGCCCAAUCUCGUCUGAUCUCGGAAGCUAAGCAGGGUCGGGCCUGCUUAGUAUAAAAAAAAAGUAAAGUUUAAAAAU
Bison bison bison is the source of this 96-nucleotide ribosomal RNA. The record is from Ensembl. Lineage: Eukaryota; Metazoa; Chordata; Mammalia; Artiodactyla; Bovidae.